CCUACGGGUGGCUGCAGUCGAGAAUCAUUCACAAUGGGGGAAACCCUGAUGGUGCGACGCCGCGUGGGGGAAUGAAGGUCUUCGGAUUGUAAACCCCUUUCAUGUGGGAGCAAAUUAAAAAGAUAGUACCACAAGAGGAAGAGACGGCUAACUCUGUGCCAGCAGCCGCGGUAAUACAGAGGUCUCACGCGUUGUUCGGAAUCACUGGGCGUAAGGCGUUCGUAGUCUUUUUGGUAAGUCGUGUGUGAAAGGCGCGGGCUCAACCCGCGGACGGCACAUGAUACUGCGAGACUAGAGUAAUGGAGGGGGAACCGGAAUUCUCGGGGUAGCAGUGAAAUGCGUAGAUAUCGAGAGGAACACUCGUGGCGAAGGCGGGUUCCUGGACAUUAACUGACGCUGAGGCACGAAGGCCAGGGGAGCGAAAGGGAUUAGAUACCCCAGUAGUC
RNAcentral lists this ribosomal RNA (446 nucleotides) under uncultured bacterium. Its description in RNAcentral is "partial 16S ribosomal RNA". It matches the Rfam family "Bacterial small subunit ribosomal RNA", at positions 338 to 795 of the family's 1533-position model. The record is from RNAcentral.